AACCAUAGGCUCGUAUUGGUUUGAUAUCACAGGAAAGGGGGACAGUGUUGCUUGUUUCUUUCGGGAGACGACCUUCGUUUGUUCCUUGCUAUUGUUGCUUAGCUUUCCUACUAUCGACUAAUGUAUUCAACGCUCGAGAGGCAAAGUCUCAAGGAACUAAUGGUGUCUAUAGUUAUUAUACUUCUCCUCCAAACUAGUUUACCUAGUUUGGGGUAUUGAGUCGUUGGUGAUUAUGUCUGUGCACCUUAGUUGUUGCCAUUACUUACAUGGAUGAGACAGAAGCAGCCCCGUUGACGAGUAUUACUUAGAUUAAGUAGGAUGCACGGCCUUGAACUCUUCAACAGUCAGGAUAAUCCUCCCGGAUACUUCUGCCUUUUGAAUUGAGUUCGACCGUCUUUGUUGCCAUCCUACAGCGGUAUAUUCCUAAACACUAUGGAGAUCCUAGUUGGUCGAUUAUCAUUUGUGUAAAACCAUACUGCAAACAUCU
This 487-nucleotide small nucleolar RNA is filed under the name Kazachstania africana CBS 2517. RNAcentral's name for it is "Small nucleolar RNA snR30". It matches the Rfam family "Small nucleolar RNA snR30". Lineage: Eukaryota; Fungi; Ascomycota; Saccharomycetes; Saccharomycetales; Saccharomycetaceae. The record is from Rfam by way of RNAcentral.